GACGAACGCUGGCGGCGUGCUUAACACAUGCAAGUCGAACGGAAAGGCCCUGCUUUUGUGGGGUGCUCGAGUGGCGAACGGGUGAGUAACACGUGAGUAACCUGCCCUUGACUUUGGGAUAACUUCAGGAAACUGGGGCUAAUACCGGAUAGGAGCUCCUGCUGCAUGGUGGGGGUUGGAAAGUUUCGGCGGUGGGGGAUGGACUCGCGGCUUAUCAGCUUGUUGGUGGGGUAGUGGCUUACCAAGGCUUUGACGGGUAGCCGGCCUGAGAGGGUGGCCGGCCACAUUGGGACUGAGGUACGGCCCAGACUCCUACGGGAGGCAGCAGUGGGGAAUAUUGCACAAUGGGCGGAAGCCUGAUGCAGCAACGCCGCGUGCGGGAUGACGGCCUUCGGGUUGUAAACCGCUUUCGCCUGUGACGAAGCGUGAGUGACGGUAAUGGGUAAAGAAGCACCGGCUAACUACGUG
RNAcentral lists this ribosomal RNA (468 nucleotides) under uncultured bacterium. RNAcentral describes it as "partial 16S ribosomal RNA". It matches the Rfam family "Bacterial small subunit ribosomal RNA", at positions 28 to 507 of the family's 1533-position model. The record is from RNAcentral.